Molecule: long non-coding RNA, 840 nt
Organism: Salvia splendens (bonfire salvia)
Lineage: Eukaryota; Viridiplantae; Streptophyta; Magnoliopsida; Lamiales; Lamiaceae
Exons: 3
Source: RefSeq, a predicted model, not a curated record
UUCCAUGUUUUAAUUGGAAUAUUCUAGCAAAUCUUUCCCUAUCUUAUUUUAUUAAAGAUUUGGAAAUUAUUCCUUGUGGAAGGAAUACUUCACACACCUAUUUCCAUAUUGUUUGGGAGGAUUUUUAUUAAUUUUCUUGCUCCGUAUUAUUUUAUUCUGCUCCGUGAAAAUACCAAAUAAAAUCAUGGGCUAAUUAAAUAGCCAUGAUUUUCGAAAAUCCUCCUUAAUUCUUGCCCCUUAUUCACGCCAUUUCCCCUCCAUCAAAUCUCAAUCUUUAUUACAAUUAUUCUCCCAAAUAUUCUCUAAUUAAUUGUGGGAUAUUUUCAAGCUCUAUAAAUAAGAACCUAACCCUAACCUCACUAAACACACGCCUACACUCCCUCUCACACGCCCCCUCCCCUCUUCUUCACUCUCCCACACUUGUUCUUCCACUCUACUCAAGAUCCUUUCGAUUCGCCAAGAGUUUGUUGAAGAACCAAGAGUUUUAAACGUUUCUACCGAUUGUUUUGUUCAAGAAAGGUGAUAACUCGUGCGCAAAGCGUGAUAACAAAGGAAAGACAGUAGUUGAAACCGAAACGAUCGAGGUUGAGCAGCGACGAGCGGUUGGUGGUGUUGAGCAGAAAUAAUAAUAUGGUUGUUUUGAAACUUCGAGUGUCGUUGUGUCUUCACACAUGACUUCCCUCUUCUCUUGGAUGCUUCCGCUGUGAUAUUUUCUUUACGUACAUUUUUACUUAACUAUGAAUCUUUUUGAUUAAAUGUUGAGAACUCGUUACCCUUUUUAUUAAUGUCAAACCUUUGGUCUUUUCAAUUAUUUUAAUAUAAAUAUCCUUGGUCGUUUAA